Molecule: ribosomal RNA, 329 nt
Filed under: uncultured Bacteroidota bacterium
Lineage: Bacteria; Pseudomonadati; Bacteroidota
Description: bacterial SSU rRNA
Rfam family: Bacterial small subunit ribosomal RNA
Source: RNAcentral
GAUGAACGCUAGCGGGAGGCUUAACACAUGCAAGUCGAGGGGCAUCACGAGGUAGCAAUACUUUGGUGGCGACCGGCGCACGGGUGAGUAACGCGUAUGUAACCUGUCCUUUACAGGAGGAUAACCCGGAGAAAUUCGGACUAAUACCCCAUGGAAAUAUUGAGAGGCAUCUUGAGAUAUUUAAAGUUCCGGCGGUACGGGAUGGGCAUGCGUAACAUUAGCUAGUUGGUAAGGUAACGGCUUACCAAGGCUUUGAUGUUUAGGGGGUCCUGAGAGGGUGGUCCCCCACACUGGUACUGAGACACGGACCAGACUCCUACGGGAGGCAG